GUCCACGCCGUAAACGAUGAGUGCUGGGUGUCGUGGGUUUUGACCCCCGCGGUGCCGUAGCUAACGCGUUAAGCACUCCGCCUGGGGAGUACGGCCGCAAGGCUAAAACUCAAGGGAAUUGACGGGGGCCCGCACAAGCGGUGGAGCAUGUGGUUUAAUUCGACGCAACGCGCAGAACCUUACCUGGGCUAGAAACUGCCAGAAUCCCUCAGAAACGAGGGGGUGCCCGCAAGGGAACUGGUAUUCAGGUGCUGCAUGGCUGUCGU
This 266-nucleotide ribosomal RNA is filed under the name uncultured bacterium. RNAcentral's name for it is "partial 16S ribosomal RNA". It matches the Rfam family "Bacterial small subunit ribosomal RNA", at positions 793 to 1055 of the family's 1533-position model. The record is from RNAcentral.